UUUUUCUUCUUCUAACUUGCAAGUCUCAUGGAUUCUGUAUAGAUUGAAUUUAUCCAUUGUCUAUAUUAGAAAACCAAUCUCGCAGAUACAAUCAUUGAUAAUAUAUGGGCAAGUGAGACACACGAGGUAUGAUGGGAUUAGUUCGUAAAUACUUACUUCCGGGAAUAUAUGUCCUCUGUUUAGACAAACAAGCGAGUCAAUCAUCUGAAGAACAAAAUCUCUCAAAAUUACUGGCCGAUGAGAAGUAUUCAUGUCUUUGAUCAGUUUAUAAUCUAUAAAUCAAAAUAUUUAUAAAUUUGCGGAAGAAAAAACAAUUAUAUGAUAGAUGUUGUAGUCUGAAUUCAGUUAAAACUAGACAUGCUGACAGAAGCUACUCCAUGGUGAGAUGUCUCUCUUCCUUAUUUAUGCAUCUUCUCAACUUCCAUCUUGCCAUUCUAAUGGAAAUGUUCUGCGAUGUGAGUGUGAAGGGUGACUCGCAAUAUAUUGAUUCCGGCGUCACUUCAAGAAACAAAAACAUUUGCCACGAUUGAAAGAUAAAGGCUUAUUCAUUUUUAAUAUGCCGCGGAAAGACCAGAUCAUUUCAUUGGACGAUAUUCAGGUUCUGAGCAACCAGAAAUGAAGGGAGUGACCUAGAGGACUUUUAAAACAAUAGUUUCUAGAUCUCUGUGUGGUGUGUGUUUUUUUUUUAAAGUUUAAACAUUAAAAAAUAUUGAAAAACUCAAUAUCUUUCUGGAGGCUCGAUGGCUGAGAGGUAAAGCGCAUGGCUUCUGAACCCGAGGUACCAGGUUCAAAUCCUGAUGAAAGACUGUGCUUUUUACUUUCGGGAUCUUUAGGGCGCUUCUAAGUUAACCCAGCUCUAAUGGGUCCCUGACAUAAGUUGGGGAAAGUAAAGGCGGUUAGUCGUUGUGCGAGCCACAUGACAUUCUCGUAAAGCAUGGAUAGGAACAUCAUCUGCCCCAUAGAUCACAAUGUCUGAAAGAGGAACUUUUUUUUUUAAAUAUCAUUCUAGACCUUAUUUAUAAAUAAGUCUUGAGUUGUUCCGGAUUGUACAAUCUGAAAGUGUGCCUAGAUAGCUAAUUCCUUCAUUGGAGACGUCAUCCUAGAGGGAUAGAUUUGAAGUUAGCGUUGAGUGGUACAAAGUCAGAGCAAGAAGGUUUGACUAACUUAGAAAUCUUGGAACAAGAACAGAGUGAGCAAUUAGACUGAGCACAAAACAAAUGCCAAGAUAAGCCUGCCAGUAGAGGUGGAUGUUGCGAAACUAUGAGUGGCUCAUUGACUUUCAAUGCACAAUGUUACAAGAACUGGGAAAGUAACGAACUGAACAAUUUUAUUCACAAAAUUUCAUAGUCAUUUUAUUUGGUUAAGAAUUAGACAAAACAGAACAAAAAAAGAAUACAUUUUAACCCCCCCCC
Biomphalaria glabrata is the source of this 1412-nucleotide long non-coding RNA. RefSeq lists it as uncharacterized. Lineage: Eukaryota; Metazoa; Mollusca; Gastropoda; Planorbidae. The transcript is spliced from 3 exons. The record is from RefSeq and is a predicted model, not a curated record.